GAUGAACGCUGGCGGCGUGCCUAAUACAUGCAAGUCGAGCGAACAGACGAGGAACUUGCUCCUCUGACGUUAGCGGCGGACGGGUGAGUAACACGUGGAUAACCUACCUAUAAGACUGGGAUAACUUCGGGAAACCGGAGCUAAUACCGGAUAAUAUAUUGAACCGCAUGGUUCAAUAGUGAAAGACGGUUUUGCUGUCACUUAUAGAUGGAUCCGCGCCGCAUUAGCUAGUUGGUAAGGUAACGGCUUACCAAGGCAACGAUGCGUAGCCGACCUGAGAGGGUGCUCGGCCACACUGGAACUGAGACACGGUCCAGACUCCUACGGGAGGCAGCAGUAGGGAAUCUUCCGCAAUGGGCGAAAGCCUGACGGAGCAACGCCGCGUGAGUGAUGAAGGUCUUCGGAUCGUAAAACUCUGUUAUUAGGGAAGAAUAAAUGUGUAAGUAACUAUGCACGUCUUGACGGUACCUAAUCAGAAAGCCACGGCUAACUACGUG
Molecule: ribosomal RNA, 497 nt
Filed under: uncultured bacterium
Lineage: Bacteria
Description: partial 16S ribosomal RNA
Rfam family: Bacterial small subunit ribosomal RNA
Source: RNAcentral